GAUGAACGCUGGCGGCGUGCCUAAUACAUGCAAGUCGAGCGAACGGACGAGAAGCUUGCUUUUCUGAUGUUAGCGGCGGACGGGUGAGUAACACGUGGAUAACCUACCUAUAAGACUGGGAUAACUUCGGGAAACCGGAGCUAAUACCGGAUAAUAUUUUGAACCGCAUGGUUCAAAAGUGAAAGACGGUCUUGCUGUCACUUAUAGAUGGAUCCGCGCUGCAUUAGCUAGUUGGUAAGGUAACGGCUUACCAAGGCAACGAUGCAUAGCCGACCUGAGAGGGUGAUCGGCCACACUGGAACUGAGACACGGUCCAGACUCCUACGGGAGGCAGCAGUAGGGAAUCUUCCGCAAUGGGCGAAAGCCUGACGGAGCAACACCGCGUGAGUGUUGAAGGUCUUCGGAUCGUAAAACUCUGUUAUUAGGGAAGAACAUAUGUGUAAGUAACUGUGCACAUCUUGACGGUACCUAAUCAGAAAGCCACGGCUAACUACGUG
RNAcentral lists this ribosomal RNA (497 nucleotides) under uncultured bacterium. RNAcentral describes it as "partial 16S ribosomal RNA". It matches the Rfam family "Bacterial small subunit ribosomal RNA", at positions 28 to 507 of the family's 1533-position model. The record is from RNAcentral.